UCUUCUUUCAACAUUAUCAACCGCCUCUUUCUCUCUCUAUUCUUUUCCUUCACUGCUUCACACCGAAACCCUAGCCUCCGUGUUCCUUUGGCUUGAAGCUUCUACAUCUCAUUUUCUAUGAAAACAUACGCUUGUGCUUGAAUCGACUGAUAAAGGAAACACGCUUUGCCCUUUCCAAUUCCUGCUCUCAAACCCUACUGUCCGAAUACACAUCUUCCCCUUCACGUUUCCUGCCGAUCAAUCGAUUUAUCAAUCCUAUAAUAUACUAAUCUCAUCAAUGUUGAAAGCCAUCAUCAAUUUGGUGUAGAUGGGUAUUCAAGAAAAUAAAGGCAUAAGUGGGAGUUUGGGUUCGUUUCUUACUCGCAGAUGCUUUGGUUGUCUUAUGAGGGGCUACUUAGAAGGUGAGUAAUUAAUGGUUAUUUUGGAAACUUUGCACUAAUUUUCUUGCUAAAUGGUCAUGACGAUGUUGAUUUGUGAGGUUUUGGUGUGUGCUGCCUCCUUUAGAAGAAGAGGAUGUUCCUCAACUAUACCCAAAAGGGCCAAAUCUUGGUGAGUGAGCUUGAGAAACAGUUGAAAAUGGAGAUAAAAUCAAGAAACAGAGCCAGAGCCGAAAAGAUCUGUCUAAUGAGAAUAAGAGUCAGAAAGAAAGAUGGAGCUGAAGAUCUUUUAAAAAAGAAGAUGACAAUGGGACAUUUGUCACGGAUAUCUUAAGCUUGAAAAUACACUGUUGGAAGUGCAGCUCCUCGUGUUAAAAAUACUUAAAAUAUGUGAUUUUGGGUAUUCAAAGUUUGAUCACAAAUGUUGCAGCCGCUCCUCUCACCGAUCGACCUGAUCACAAGUGCAGGAUUCCGGCGACAUUCGAUUAGGAUUCCGGUUAGGUCAAUUUGAAUUCAGCGAGUGGUUGCAAUUGAUAAGAUUUGAUUAGCAUGGAACAUCGAAAGGAUGAGGUUGUUGAGAGGAUCAACUUUAGAUCAUAAAAUGAUGCACUCAUAGCUGCGACUUCAAGAUGGAAAGGUUGAACAUGAUCAUACAAGAGAUGGUGAAAGAAAAAGAAGAGAAAGAAAGGUUGAACGGAAGGAUGACAAAUGUUGAACGAUGCUAAAAAUUAGGUAUCAAAACGUCUAAUCAUCGAGUUGGUUAUAAGCACUUUAUUUUGGAUAUGUAUUUUGUUCGGAGAACUCAUGUAUUUAAUUUGAUGUUUUAAGUGGAAUGCUU
This 1215-nucleotide long non-coding RNA is filed under the name Helianthus annuus (common sunflower). RNAcentral's name for it is "hypothetical non coding rna". The record is from RNAcentral. Lineage: Eukaryota; Viridiplantae; Streptophyta; Magnoliopsida; Asterales; Asteraceae.